GCCAGGGGAGGGAGGGAGGGAGAGAGGGAGGUGGGGGCGGCCGCGCGGCGCCCGGCGCGCUGCCUGACGGGUAGAGCGCGGGUCAGCCCCACAGCGGCGCCUGCUUUCCGGCAGCCGCGGGGCGGGGCCGCGCCGGGGCCGCGCGGGGGCGGGGCCGCGCGCCAUGUGCCCGGCCUCGCGCCCCUUCCGCCGGCCGCCCGGCCCGGCCCGGCCCCGCCUGCCCUCCGGUGCCUUGGCGGGGGCUGACAGGGCCGGCCGUGAGGCGGCCAGAUCCACGGCGGCACCCGUGGGCGCGGAGGGGACCCGCCAGCAACGUUCGCCUCAGCGGUGCCCCCGGAACGUUGCAAAACAGGUAGAUGAGGCCUUAACUGGGCAGUGAAGCCGUGGUCGCUAGAGAAAACAGUCCUGGAGCACAGUACGGCAAAGAGCUGCGUUUUCACUCACCUCAGAAUUUGCACAUGAAAAUCUCUGAAUCAAAAGUGGUCAAGAUACAGAAGAAUAAGAGAUGGCCGAAUGGAAGCUAGAGCGCAGCAGAUAGCUAGUCUGUGACAGCCUAACGGAGGUGGGAGACGAUACAUGUGAGAUGAAAAUCAGCUUCUGCAGCAGCAGUCCCAGAUGGACUGUUGUGAUUUACUGAGCAGUCAAGACUGUAGAAGCCAGUGACUGACACCCUGCCACUGACCUGAUCUUUGUCUCUGAUGGAGCUGAGAACAACUGGCAGCAGAAAUGAAGGUGAGGCAACUGAGAUGAAGAAAAUUAAACUGACCUAUACAAAGUUACUCGAUUAUUGGCAGAGUUGAAAGCCCAGAGAGAAAAAUCAUAGCUCCACUGAAGAGAAACCUAAAACUUUGAGAUGGUUCAGGAGGGCAAGAUUCUCCUACAAGUCUUCUAUUUGCGCUGCUAAAAUAUUUUCCUUAACAUUUAAAAUAAGAACAGGAAUUGUAAUAUUUAAAGCUAUGAAAUGGAAGGCAGUAUUCGAACUUAUUUAUGCAAACAGUAGCCUUUCAAAAAAACUUAAACUGAGUCUGACAUUGAAAAAAAUUUGCAAACUGGACCAUAAUUCUUGCCUGCCAGAGAUAAAAGUAUGGUCUGAGCUUCAGCUUGGGCUCAGCAAUGCCUCAAUUUUCAGUUCUGAGCCAGGACCCUGAUGGCAAUGCAGCUGCUCAGGUCUCUAGUAACAAUCACUAUCAACAGUGAAUGUAAACUUUGGAAUUGUCUUGAGCUAUACAACUAACCUGAAUUUUUUGUGCGGUUUGAAAAAGAGGGGAUUAAUACAAAACGAUGUUAGAAAGAAAAAUCUCUCGACUUUGAAAUAACAAUUUUUCUUAUGGAACUUAAUGAAAAAUUUCCACAUGUAAUAUGAAUUGUUUUGACAGGCUGUGACAUUUGUGCUGGAAAUGUUACUGAAGGGACUCUAGAUGGGCUAUACUUUGGUCCUCCUUUGAAGCCAACAGCUUCAUAUCCAUUGACUUCAAUCAGAACAAUAUUAU
This is a long non-coding RNA of Aquila chrysaetos chrysaetos, 1490 nucleotides long. RefSeq lists it as uncharacterized. The record is from RefSeq and is a predicted model, not a curated record. The transcript is spliced from 4 exons. Lineage: Eukaryota; Metazoa; Chordata; Aves; Accipitriformes; Accipitridae.